RNAcentral lists this ribosomal RNA (133 nucleotides) under Castor canadensis (American beaver). The record is from RNAcentral. Lineage: Eukaryota; Metazoa; Chordata; Mammalia; Rodentia; Castoridae.
GUCUACAGCCAUACCACCCUAAAAAUGCCCAGUCUUGUCUGGUCUCAGAAGCUAAGCAGGGUUGGUCCUGAUUAGUACUUGGAUGGGAGGCAAAUUUUCAAGAGACUGCUCAGAGACAAGCAGUUUGGAGACA